This is a non-coding RNA of Gossypium raimondii (Peruvian cotton), 145 nucleotides long. The record is from Rfam. NCBI's taxonomy places the organism in Eukaryota, Viridiplantae, Streptophyta, Magnoliopsida, Malvales, Malvaceae.
UGUUAAAAAUUCUAUCUAUUUUUACUAUUAAAAAUUAGAGUGGUUGAUAGAAUAAUCAGACAAAUAUGCAUGGCCUACUACUUGUACCUUAUUUUAACGUAUGGAGACUAAUUUUUAACAGUAGAAAUAAAUAAAAAUUUUAAAA